This 253-nucleotide ribosomal RNA is filed under the name uncultured bacterium. RNAcentral's name for it is "partial 16S ribosomal RNA". It matches the Rfam family "Bacterial small subunit ribosomal RNA", at positions 524 to 776 of the family's 1533-position model. The record is from RNAcentral.
GACGAAGGUGGCAAGCGUUGUUCGGAUUCACUGGGCAUAAAGGGCGCGUAGGCGGUUCCGAAAGUGGCAUGUGAAAUCCCCCGGCUCAACCGGGGAAGUGCGUGCCAAACUUCGGUGCUAGAGUGCGGUAGGGGGGACUGGAACUCUCGGUGGAGCGGUGAAAUGCGUAGAUAUCGAGAGGAACACCGGUGGCGAAGGCGAGUCCCUGGUCCGCAACUGACGCUGAGGCGCGAAAGCGUGGGUAGCAAACAGG